AGUGUCAGAUCGCCAGCUGCCACUUCCUCCAGCAGUCAACGCCAGUACCUGGGGCCAAGUGACCACCUUAGAUGGGUUCAUCAAGGGCUGCAACCCUCCCCCUUCCUGUGCAAACACGACCUGUGACCCACCUCUGGCUUGCCACGCCUCCUGGACGCAGCCUUCUUGCAGCUGCGGUUCAGGGAGACAUCUGGUGGGAUCUGCAUGCGAAGACAUCAACGAGUGUGUGCUGGAGCCGUGUCUGCACGGAGGAACCUGCUAUGACCUGAAGCCAGACUAUCUUUGCCUUUGUGGCCCGAACCACAUCGGUGACAACUGCGAGUGGACCAAAGUCUCCAACCCAGGCAUCCCACUAACCGAGUCCGCAACUAUAGCGGCCCUUACACUGUCGCUUCUCUUUUUAAUCCUCAUGGGAGUGUGUAUCUCCUUACGACAUCACCGACUGCGAUCAGCCAGAGCCUUGGGUCGCCAGGAGACAGAAGACAGCGGAGACUCGAAGGACGCCAUCCUAGCCGUCAAAGUAGGAUGCAAAGGAUCGGUGAUGGCUGGAGACUCAGAGAAGAAG
Molecule: long non-coding RNA, 565 nt
Organism: Macrobrachium nipponense
Lineage: Eukaryota; Metazoa; Arthropoda; Malacostraca; Decapoda; Palaemonidae
Exons: 3
Source: RefSeq, a predicted model, not a curated record